RNAcentral lists this ribosomal RNA (253 nucleotides) under uncultured bacterium. RNAcentral's name for it is "partial 16S ribosomal RNA". It matches the Rfam family "Bacterial small subunit ribosomal RNA", at positions 524 to 776 of the family's 1533-position model. The record is from RNAcentral.
UACGUAGGGUGCAAGCGUUGUCCGGAAUUACUGGGCGUAAAGAGCUCGUAGGCGGUUUGUCGCGUCGUCUGUGAAAACUCGAGGCUCAACCUCGAGCUUGCAGGCGAUACGGGCAGACUUGAGUACUGCAGGGGAGACUGGAAUUCCUGGUGUAGCGGUGAAAUGCGCAGAUAUCAGGAGGAACACCGGUGGCGAAGGCGGGUCUCUGGGCCGUAACUGACGCUGAGGAGCGAAAGCAUGGGGAGCGAACAGG